UCAAAUUAGAGAAGAUGAAGCAUAGUUAAGGAGUAUAACUAUUUAGAUUGCAGACCAGAAAUCUAUGAACUUACCUAUGAAAAUUGGAGAAAUUGAGUAGAUUUUUUUUGAAUAUGAAGUUUCUAUGCCCAUCCCUGCAUAUCAUGUUUGCAAUCCUCUCAUUUCUCCUUGAAGUAAAUGCAAAGACCUACACAUGAAAAAUUAAUAAAUCUUAAAAACACUCACAUCAAGAACAAAGCGUAAGGAAAACUAAAUUUCAA
This 260-nucleotide long non-coding RNA is filed under the name Solanum tuberosum (potato). Its description in RNAcentral is "long non-coding RNA (STUB_LNC001077)". The record is from RNAcentral. Lineage: Eukaryota; Viridiplantae; Streptophyta; Magnoliopsida; Solanales; Solanaceae.